This 1446-nucleotide ribosomal RNA is filed under the name Triticum aestivum (bread wheat). Its description in RNAcentral is "partial small subunit ribosomal RNA". Lineage: Eukaryota; Viridiplantae; Streptophyta; Magnoliopsida; Poales; Poaceae. The record is from RNAcentral.
AUGCCACGCGUCCGACCCGGCUCCUCCUCCGGCACCGUCUCCUCACACGCCAACCAGCUGCUAAACAAGCUCAAGGAUCAUGUCGGCUCUGGGACACUCCAGCCGGAGCGCGCACACCAACUGUUUGACAAAUUGCUGCGCCAAGCUGUUCCCAUAUCUGCGUGCGCACUCAAUGGCUUAUUUGCCGCCCUCGCGCGUGCGCUGCCCUCCGCUGCCUGCACCGACGGCCCUGCUCUAGCCAUUGCUCUCUUCAACCGCAUGGCUCGAGAGGGCCGCUGGGUGAUAGCGCCCAACAUGUACACCUACACCAUACUAAUUGACUGCAGCUGCCGCUCGCGCCGCCCUGACCUAGGGCCCGCCUUCUUCGGCCGCCUCCUCAAGACAGGCAUCACGGCGGACGUCUGCACCUUCAGCAGCUUAUUCAAGUGCCUCUGUGACAUGAAGCGGAUAGACGAGGCUGUGGGAGUGCUGCUUCACAGGAUGCCCGGAGACAUGCCUGAUGUCAUCUCCUACUCAACAAUCCUCAAGGGCUUCUGCAACGAGGGGAGGAGCCAGCUUGCACUUGAUCUGCUCCAGAUGAUGGUCAAAAAAGGAGCUGGCCAGUCACCCGACGUGGUAUCAUACAACAUGCGGGGGUUCGUGCCUGAUGUGGGGACAUAUAAUUCCAUUAUUGAUGCAAUGUGCAAAGCAAGAGCAAUGGACAAGGCAAAAUUGGUCCUUCGACAAAUGGUUGAUAGUGGGGUUCGACCGGAUAUUGUGACAUAUAAUAAACUGAUUCAUGGAUAUUCCAUUUCGGGCCAGUUUGAAGAGGUCGUUACGUUGUUGGAAAAAAUGAGAAGUCAAGGUGUCAAACCAACUGUUUUUACUUGCAACACAGUCAUGGACUACCUUUGCAAGCAUGGAAGAAUCAAAGAAGCUGCAGAAUUUUUUUAUUCCAUGGUUGAGAAGGGCCAUAAACCUAAUAUAGUCUCAUAUGCUAUUAUGCUUCAUGGGUACGCUAAAGAAGGAUCCCUUGUUGAAAUGACUGAUCUCUGUGAGCUGAUGGCAAGAGAUGGUAUUGUAUCCUAUCUCCAUUGUUUCAACAUACUGAUUAAUGCAUAUGCUAAGUGUGGAAUGAUGGAUGUGGCUAUUCUUUUCUUCAAAGACAUGUUGAAGCAGGGAGUGAACCCUGAUGAAGUCACAUAUUUAGCAGUGAUAGCUGGGUAUUGCAGAGUGGGCAUGAUGGAUGAUGCUAUGGAAAAAUUCAAUGAGAUGAUCGGUAUGGGAGUACCACAUAAUGCAACUGUUUACAGGUGCAUGAUUCAGGGUUACUUAAAUCAUGGUGAUUUCUUGAAAGCAAAGGAAUUGAUUACUGAAAUGAAGACCAAGGGUAUCCAUCCUAGACUGUCGAAAAGCCAAGGAAUUGAUCCAGGGUACCUCAUGAGUCAACUGUUUCCAGGUGCAUGA